RNAcentral lists this non-coding RNA (89 nucleotides) under Fructobacillus fructosus. Its description in RNAcentral is "TPP sequence". It matches the Rfam family "TPP riboswitch aptamer (THI element)". From Rfam's summary of the family: Vitamin B(1) in its active form thiamin pyrophosphate (TPP) is an essential coenzyme that is synthesised by coupling of pyrimidine and thiazole moieties in bacteria. The previously detected thiamin-regulatory element, thi box was extended, resulting in a new, highly conserved RNA secondary structure, the THI element, which is widely distributed in eubacteria and also occurs in some archaea. Analysis of operon structures identified a large number of new candidate thiamin-regulated genes, mostly transporters, in various prokaryotic organisms. Lineage: Bacteria; Bacillati; Bacillota; Bacilli; Lactobacillales; Lactobacillaceae. The record is from RNAcentral.
AUACAAGAACUGGGGUACCUUUUUGGUUGAGAUAAGACCCAUUGAACCUGUUGGUUAAUACCAGCGUAGGGAGUUCGCACAAGCUUUUU